This 640-nucleotide long non-coding RNA is filed under the name Sus scrofa (pig). RNAcentral's name for it is "lncRNA (ENSSSCG00070004439.1)". The record is from RNAcentral. Lineage: Eukaryota; Metazoa; Chordata; Mammalia; Artiodactyla; Suidae.
GCCAGGGCUUGGGCAAAUGGAGGUGACAGGUUGUAUGGAUCCAGUGAAAUCUCUAUUGUUCCCUUCAGGCCAAAAGGAAGCAGGGCACGCCUGCAGGAAGCUCCUACUGGCUCAAGUCUGGACUUUAAGUGCUUCCAUAAGGAUAACAACUGCCAGGAAUGGAACUUCAAGAGAUUAUUUUGGCAAGUCUUGAGUUCCCGAUGCUCUUUCAUUGCAAAGUAACUCCUGGAUCACGGCUGGUUUUGUUUGUGGUCGGUUUCCUGGUGGUUUUGGAGGCUGAGGAUGAUCUCCACUCCUGGGGAAUUCAGGGGAAGCGUGGACCCUGAACCUCGGUACUCUGUCCUGCUACCCUUGGACGUGCCCCUUCACCAAAGGGCAGCCAUGGCACGAGGACCCUUAGGACACCAGGGACACAGCUAAGAACUGGAAGCGAAAGGAAACGAGGGAAGCAGUAUGUCCUCACCUCCACCACCACUGCCAAGGCACUGCCAAAGCUGUCCUGGACCUAGGGCACGGAGGGGUGCUUCGCUGGGACUUGGCGGCCUUCCAGGACUGACCAGGAGACACAAGGCCAAAAGGAAGCAGGGCACGCCUGCAGGAAGCUCCUACUGGCUCAAGUCUGGACUUUAAGUGCUUCCAU